AGCGAACGCUGGCGGCAGGCUUAACACAUGCAAGUCGAACGGGCACUUCGGUGCUAGUGGCAGACGGGUGAGUAACACGUGGGAACGUACCUUUCGGUUCGGAAUAAUCCAGGGAAACUUGGACUAAUACCGGAUACGCCCUUCGGGGGAAAGAUUCAUCGCCGAUAGAUCGGCCCGCGUCUGAUUAGCUAGUUGGUGAGGUAAUGGCUCACCUAGGCGACGAUCAGUAGCUGGUCUGAGAGGAUGAUCAGCCACAUUGGGACUGAGACACGGCCCAAACUCCUACGGGAGGCAGCAGUGGGGAAUAUUGGACAAUGGGCGCAAGCCUGAUCCAGCCAUGCCGCGUGAGUGAUGAAGGCCUUAGGGUUGUAAAGCUCUUUUGUCCGGGAAGAUAAUGACUGUACCGGAAGAAUAAGCCCCGGCUAACUUCGUG
This 433-nucleotide ribosomal RNA is filed under the name uncultured bacterium. Its description in RNAcentral is "partial 16S ribosomal RNA". It matches the Rfam family "Bacterial small subunit ribosomal RNA", at positions 29 to 507 of the family's 1533-position model. The record is from RNAcentral.